GAACGCACAUUGCGCUUCCUGGUAUUCCGGGGAGCAUGCUCGUUUCAGAAUCAUUAAAACUUUCAAUUGUGUUUUUGUGGCUUCGGCUCAGAAAUAUUGAUUGCAUGUGAGCGUUUCCUUUGUCAGCUUUGUUGACAAUCACUUUAAAAUGAUUGUGUGCGUCAUAUAGUCUGGUGGUUGUGUGUGAAAGUCACCUUUUACACGCAACCCAACUACAACUUACAGAUGACUCUCAGUGCAACAGCAAUGAAUCACUUUGAACUCAUCCGUAGCUGCAGGCAACUUGACACAUCUUCCAAACCACGAGACCGUAGCGCGUUUUACGCAUUAUGGUCUUGAUAACUUGGUCUGAAAUCGAGCAAGAAAACCCGCUGAACUUAAG
This 382-nucleotide unclassified non-coding RNA is filed under the name uncultured fungus. Its description in RNAcentral is "sequence contains 5.8S rRNA gene". Lineage: Eukaryota; Fungi. The record is from RNAcentral.